GCUCAGGAUGAACGCUAGCUACAGGCUUAACACAUGCAAGUCGAGGGGAAACGAUAGAGAAAGCUUGCUUUUUCUAGGCGUCGACCGGCGCACGGGUGAGUAACGCGUAUCCAACCUGCCCAUCACUUGGGGAUAACCUUGCGAAAGUAAGACUAAUACCCAAUGAGGUCUCUAGAAGACAUCUGAAAGAGAUUAAAGAUUUAUCGGUGAUGGAUGGGGAUGCGUCUGAUUAGCUUGUUGGCGGGGUAACGGCCCACCAAGGCGACGAUCAGUAGGGGUUCUGAGAGGAAGGUCCCCCACAUUGGAACUGAGACACGGUCCAAACUCCUACGGGAGGCAGCAGUGAGGAAUAUUGGUCAAUGGGCGAGAGCCUGAACCAGCCAAGUAGCGUGCAGGAUGACGGCCCUAUGGGUUGUAAACUGCUUUUAUAAGGGAAUAAAGUGGGAGUCGUGACUCCUUUUGCAUGUACCUUAUGAAUAAGGACCGGCUAAUUCCGUGCCAGCAGCCGCGGUAAUACGGAAGGUCCGGGCGUUAUCCGGAUUUAUUGGGUUUAAAGGGAGCGUAGGCCGGAGAUUAAGCGUGUUGUGAAAUGUAGACGCUCAACGUCUGCACUGCAGCGCGAACUGGUUUCCUUGAGUACGCACAAAGUGGGCGGAAUUCGUGGUGUAGCGGUGAAAUGCUUAGAUAUCACGAAGAACUCCGAUUGCGAAGGCAGCUCACUGGAGCGCAACUGACGCUGAAGCUCGAAAGUGCGGGUAUCGAACAGGAUUAGAUACCCUGGUAGUCCGCACGGUAAACGAUGGAUGCCCGCUGUUGGUCUGAAUAGGUCAGCGGCCAAGCGAAAGCAUUAAGCAUCCCACCUGGGGAGUACGCCGGCAACGGUGAAACUCAAAGGAAUUGACG
RNAcentral lists this ribosomal RNA (903 nucleotides) under uncultured bacterium. Its description in RNAcentral is "bacterial SSU rRNA". It matches the Rfam family "Bacterial small subunit ribosomal RNA", at positions 22 to 915 of the family's 1533-position model. The record is from RNAcentral.